AGGGGCGUAGCUCAAUUGGUAGAGCGUCGGUCUCCAAAACCGAAGGUUGGGGGUUCGACACCCUCCGCCCCUG
This 73-nucleotide transfer RNA is filed under the name Hydrocarboniphaga daqingensis. It matches the Rfam family "tRNA". From Rfam's summary of the family: Transfer RNA (tRNA) molecules are approximately 80 nucleotides in length. Lineage: Bacteria; Pseudomonadati; Pseudomonadota; Gammaproteobacteria; Nevskiales; Nevskiaceae. The record is from Rfam by way of RNAcentral.